ACGAACGCUGGCGGCAGGCCUAACACAUGCAAGUCGAGCGCCGUAGCAAUACGGAGCGGCAGACGGGUGCGUAACGCGUGGGAACCUUCCCUGUGGUUCGGAAUAGCUCAGGGAAACUUGAGGUAAUACCGCAUACGCUCUUCGGGGGAAAGAUUUAUCGCCAUGGGAUGAGCCCGCGUCGGAUUAGCUAGUUGGUGAGGUAACGGCUCACCAAGGCGACGAUCCGUAGCUGGUCUGAGAGGAUGAUCAGCCACACUGGGACUGAGACACGGCCCAGACUCCUACGGGAGGCAGCAGUGGGGAAUAUUGGACAAUGGGCGAAAGCCUGAUCCAGCAAUGCCGCGUGAGUGACGAAGGUCUUCGGAUUGUAAAGCUCUUUUGGCGGGGAUGAUAAUGACGGUACCGGGAGAAUAAGCCCCGGCUAACUUCGU
This 431-nucleotide ribosomal RNA is filed under the name uncultured bacterium. RNAcentral describes it as "bacterial SSU rRNA". It matches the Rfam family "Bacterial small subunit ribosomal RNA", at positions 29 to 506 of the family's 1533-position model. The record is from RNAcentral.